GUAGGGUGCGAGCGUUAAUCGGAAUUACUGGGCGUAAAGCGUGCGCAGGCGGUUUUGUAAGACAGGUGUGAAAUCCCCGGGCUUAACCUGGGAACUGCAUUUGUGACUGCAAGGCUAGAGUAUGGCAGAGGGGGGUAGAAUUCCACGUGUAGCAGUGAAAUGCGUAGAGAUGUGGAGGAAUACCGAUGGCGAAGGCAGCCCCCUGGGUCAAUACUGACGCUCAUGCACGAAAGCGUGGGGAGCAAACAGGAUUAGAUACCCUGGUAGUCCACGCCCUAAACGAUGUCAACUAGGUGUUGGGGGAGGAGACUUCCUUAGUACCGCAGCUAACGCGUGAAGUUGACCGCCUGGGGAGUACGGCCGCAAGGUUG
This 371-nucleotide ribosomal RNA is filed under the name uncultured Pandoraea sp. RNAcentral describes it as "bacterial SSU rRNA". It matches the Rfam family "Bacterial small subunit ribosomal RNA", at positions 527 to 896 of the family's 1533-position model. The record is from RNAcentral. Lineage: Bacteria; Pseudomonadati; Pseudomonadota; Betaproteobacteria; Burkholderiales; Burkholderiaceae.